UUCGGACUGCAGGCUGCAACUCGCCUGCACGAAGCCGGAGUUGCUAGUAAUCGCGGAUCAGAAUGCCGCGGUGAAUGCGUUCCCGGGUCUUGUACACACCGCCCGUCACACCAUGGGAGUCGGAAAUGCCCGAAGUCAGUGACCCAACCGUAAGGAGGGAGCUGCCGAAGGUGGAGCCCGGUAACUGGGGUGAAGUCGUAACAAGGUAGC
RNAcentral lists this ribosomal RNA (210 nucleotides) under uncultured bacterium. RNAcentral describes it as "partial 16S ribosomal RNA". It matches the Rfam family "Bacterial small subunit ribosomal RNA", at positions 1292 to 1500 of the family's 1533-position model. The record is from RNAcentral.